ACCUGUGUGGCAUAGUGGUUUGAGUUUUUGUUGGAAUAUGACUCUGGAGACCAGAGUUCAAUUCCCAGCUCAGGCA
This is a non-coding RNA of Phrynosoma platyrhinos (Desert horned lizard), 76 nucleotides long. Lineage: Eukaryota; Metazoa; Chordata; Lepidosauria; Squamata; Phrynosomatidae. The record is from the annotation of a GenBank genome assembly.